This 463-nucleotide ribosomal RNA is filed under the name uncultured bacterium. RNAcentral's name for it is "partial 16S ribosomal RNA". It matches the Rfam family "Bacterial small subunit ribosomal RNA", at positions 28 to 507 of the family's 1533-position model. The record is from RNAcentral.
GACGAACGCUGGCGGCGUGCUUAACACAUGCAAGUCGAACGGAAAGGCCCUGCCUUUGUGGGGUGCUCGAGUGGCGAACGGGUGAGUAACACGUGGGUAACCUGCCCUUGACUUUGGGAUAACUUCAGGAAACUGGGGCUAAUACCGGACAGGAGCUCCUGCUGCAUGGUGGGGGUUGGAGGGGCUCGGCGGUUGGGGAUGGGCUCGCGGCUGAUUAGGUGGCUGGUGGGGUAGUGGCAUACCAAGGCGUUGACGGGUAGCUGGUCGGUGAGGGGGACAGGCUAGACCGGGAAUGAGACACGGACCGCAACGCGACGGAGGGCAGGAGUGGGGAAUAGUGGGCACUGGGGGCAAGUGUGAGCCAGCCGUGUCGCGGGGGUGGAGAAGGUGUUCGGAGUGUAAAGACCCUUGGGCGGGGACGAUGGUGACGGUACCCGCAGAAGAAGCACCGGCUAACUUCGUG